RNAcentral lists this small RNA (135 nucleotides) under Aliicoccus persicus. Its description in RNAcentral is "Ribosomal protein L10 leader". It matches the Rfam family "Ribosomal protein L10 leader". Rfam says of the family: This family is a putative r-protein leader autoregulatory structure found in B. subtilis and other low-GC Gram-positive bacteria. It is located in the 5' untranslated regions of mRNAs encoding ribosomal proteins L10 and L12 (rplJ-rplL). Lineage: Bacteria; Bacillati; Bacillota; Bacilli; Caryophanales; Staphylococcaceae. The record is from RNAcentral.
UGAUUUAUAUUACCUAAGACAGUAGGGGCCGAGUGCUUAAUCAUCCUACCGAGGCAUGUAAAGACUUGAGCGGAGAUAUAUUAAUAUCUAUAUUCAAGCACUUUUUGCCAUGGGUAAAAGGUGCUUUUUUUAUUG